This 505-nucleotide long non-coding RNA is filed under the name Sus scrofa (pig). RNAcentral describes it as "lncRNA (ENSSSCG00030041625.1, ENSSSCG00055030248.1, ENSSSCG00070015502.1)". The record is from RNAcentral. Lineage: Eukaryota; Metazoa; Chordata; Mammalia; Artiodactyla; Suidae.
CCCUGCGUAUUUGGGGGUGGCACAGCUGACAGUGGUUCCCGUCUUCCCCCCAACCCCACCCCCCUACUCCCCUCUCCUGGGCGUGGAUGGCUUUGGGAAGCGUCCACUCCAAGCGGCUCCAGCAACACUGAAUGGAUGUGUAGUAUGGUUAGCAGCUGGAGACGGAGCAAACGAUGCAAUGAAAAGAAGUCACAUUCACGGCGUAUUUGCUGGCAGGCACUGUGCGAAAUGCCUUGUAUGCAGCCUCUGUGAUUCUCUUCACGACUCGGUGAGAACUAUAAAGAUUCCUGUUGGAAAUGUGCAGCAUCACAUCACAAAAGAAAAAGAAACCAGAAAUAAAUGAAAACUCCGACAUGGUUCCUGAUUUUGUUUUCUGUAAUAGAUGUGAAACCAUGGCAAGGAUAAACAGUGAUUUGGCAUUCAGCAUCACCACUGCAUCAGGCAUUUCUAAGAACUGAAUUAAUGAAUGAAUAAACUCAUGUCAUAAAUAUAUUGUUUGUGGAUU